GCUGGGCGUGGUGGCUCACGCCUGUAAUCCCAUCACUUUGGGAGGCCGAGGCAGGUGGAUCACCUGAGGUCAGGAGUUCGAGACCAGCCUGGCCAACAUGGUGAAACCCCGUCUCUA
RNAcentral lists this non-coding RNA (117 nucleotides) under Nomascus leucogenys (northern white-cheeked gibbon). Lineage: Eukaryota; Metazoa; Chordata; Mammalia; Primates; Hylobatidae. The record is from Rfam by way of RNAcentral.